RNAcentral lists this transfer RNA (71 nucleotides) under marine eukaryotic metagenome. It matches the Rfam family "tRNA". From Rfam's summary of the family: Transfer RNA (tRNA) molecules are approximately 80 nucleotides in length. Their secondary structure includes four short double-helical elements and three loops (D, anti-codon, and T loops). Further hydrogen bonds mediate the characteristic L-shaped molecular structure. tRNAs have two regions of fundamental functional importance: the anti-codon, which is responsible for specific mRNA codon recognition, and the 3' end, to which the tRNAs corresponding amino acid is attached (by aminoacyl-tRNA synthetases). tRNAs cope with the degeneracy of the genetic code in two manners: having more than one tRNA (with a specific anti-codon) for a particular amino acid; and 'wobble' base-pairing, i.e. permitting non-standard base-pairing at the 3rd anti-codon position. The record is from RNAcentral.
GGGCUGUAGCUCAGUUGGGAGAGCGCCUGCUUUGCAAGCAGGAAGUCGUCGGUUCGAGCCCGUCCAGCUCC